ACGGAAGGCAGCAGUGGGGAAUAUUGCACAAUGGGGGAAACCCUGAUGCAGCAACGCCGCGUGAGUGAUGAAGGUCUUCGGAUUGUAAAGCUCUGUCUUUAGGGACGAUAAUGACGGUACCUAAGGAGGAAGCCACGGCUAACUACGUGCCAGCAGCCGCGGUAAUACGUAGGUGGCAAGCGUUAUCCGGAAUUACUGGGUGUAAAGGGAGUGUAGGCGGGACUGUAAGUCAGAUGUGAAAUAUGCCGGCUCAACUGGCAGACUGCAUUUGAAACUGCGGUUCUUGAGUGAAGUAGAGGUAAGCGGAAUUCCUAGUGUAGCGGUGAAAUGCGUAGAUAUUAGGAGGAACAUCAGUGGCGAAGGCGGCUUACUGGGCUUUAACUGACGCUGAGGCUCGAAAGCGUGGGGAGCAAACAGGAUUAGAUACCCUGGUA
This is a ribosomal RNA of 434 nucleotides. It matches the Rfam family "Bacterial small subunit ribosomal RNA", at positions 341 to 792 of the family's 1533-position model.